AGAUCAACAGUGGUCUGUAUGGAAUGACAGCACAGAGAUCAACAGUGGUCUGUAUGGACUGACUGCACAGAGAUCAACAGUGGUCUGUAUGGAAUGACAGCACAGGGACCCACUUCGGCCUGUAUGGACUGACAGCACAGAGAUACCGACGUCGGUCUGUACUGACUGACAGCACAGGACCCACUUCGGCCUGUAUGGACUGAUAGCACAGAGACGCCAACGUCAGUCUGUACCAACUGACAGCACAAAGACCCACAUUGAUGUGUAUGGACUGACAGCACAGAGACGCCAACGUCAGUCUGUAUGGACUGACAGCACAAAGACCCACAUCGGUGUGUAUGGACUGAGAGCACAGAGACAGCAACAUCAGUCUGUAUUGACUAACGUAACACCAUGGUAACACCAACAUCAGUCUGUAUGGACUGACAGCACAGAGACCCACAUCGGUGUGUAUGGAAUGACAGCACAGAGACACUGAUGUCAGUCUGUAUGGACUGAUAGCACAGGGACCCACAUCGGCCUGUAUGGACUGACAGCACAGAGACAGCAACGUCAGUCUGUAUGGACUGACAUAACACCGUGGUAACACCGACAUCGGUCUGUAUGGAUUGACAGCACAGAGAUCAACAUUGCUCUGUAUGGACUGACAUAACAGCAUAACACCAACAUUGGAGUGUAUGGACUGACAGCACAGAGACACCGAUGUCAGUCUGUAUGGACUGAUAGCACAGAGAUCAACAGUGGUCUGUAUGGACUGACAUAACAGCAUGAUAACACCAACAUUGCUCUGUAUGGACUGACAGCACAGGACCCACUUCAGUGUGUAUGGACUGACUGCACAGAGACCAACAUUGGUCUGUAUGGACUGAUAGCACAGAGAUCAACAUUGCUCUGUAUGGACUGACAUAACAGCAUAACACCAACAUUGGAGUGUAUGGACUGACAGCACAGAGAUCAACAGUGGUCUGUAUGGACUGACAGCACAGAGUCCCACAUUGCUCUGUAUGGACUGACUGCACAGAGACCCACUUCGGUGUCUAUGGACUGACAGCACAGAGACACCAACGUCGGUCUGUACUGACUGACUGCACAGAGACCCACAUUGGUGUAUAUGGACUGAUAGCACAGAGACCCACAUCGGUCUGUAUGGACUGACAGCACAGAGACACCGAUGUCAGUCUGUAUGGACUGACAGCACAGAGAUCAACAGUGGUCUGUAUGGACUGACAUAACAGCAUGAUAACACCAACAUUGGUCUGUAUGGACUGACAGCACAGGGACACCAACGUUGGUCUGUACCCACUGAUAGAACACCAUAAUAACACCAACAUCAGUGUGUAUGGACUGACAGCACAGAGACCAACAUUGGUCUGUAUGGACUGAUAGCACAGAGAUCAACAUUGCUCUGUAUGGACUGACAUAACAGCAUAACACCAACAUUGGAGUGUAUGGACUGACUGCACAGGGACCCACAUCGGCCUGUAUGGACUGACAGCACAGAGACCAACAUUGCUCUGUAUGGACUGACAGCACAGAGACCCACAUCGGCCUGUAUGGACUGACUGCACAGAGACAGCAACAUCGGUUUAUAUAGACUGACUGCACAGAGACCCACAUCGGUGUGUACAGACUGAUAGCACAGAGACACCAACGUCAGUCUGUAUUGGUGUGUAUGGACUGACAGCACAGAGACCCACAUUGGUGUGUAUGGACUGACAGCACAGAGACCAACAUUGCUCUGUAUGGACUGACUGCACAGAGAUCAACAGUGGUCUGUAUGGACUGACAGCACAGAGACCCACUUCGGUGUGUAUGGACUGAUAGCACAGAGACACCAAUGUCAGUCUGUAUGGACUGACAGCACAGAGACCAACAUUGUUCUGUAUGGACUGACUGCACAGAGACCCACAUCGGUCUGUAUGGACUGAUGUAACAGCAUGAUAACACCAACAUUGGCCUGUAUGGACUGACAGCACAGAGACACCGAUGUCAGUCUGUAUGGACUGACAGCACAGAGACCAACAGUGGUCUGUAUGAACUGACAUAACAGCAUGAUAACACCAACAUUGGUCUGUAUGGACUGACAGCACAGGGACACCAACGUUGGUCUGUACCCACUGAUAGAACACCAUAAUAACACCAACAUCAGUGUGUAUGGACUGACAGCACAGAGACCAACAUUGGUCUGUAUGGACUGAUAGCACAGAGACCAACAGUGGUCUGUAUGGACUGACAUAACAGCAUAACACCAACAUUGGAGUGUAUGGACUGACUGCACAGGGACCCACUUCGGCCUGUAUGGACUGACAGCACAGAGACAGCAACGUCGGUCUGUAUGGACUGACAGCACAGAGAUCAACAGUGGUCUGUAUGGACUGACUGCACAGAGACCCACAUCGGUGUGUACAGACUGAUAGCACAGAGACACCAACGUCAGUCUGUAUUGGUGUGUAUGGACUGACAGCACAGAGACCAGCAUUGGUGUGUAUGGACUGACAUAACAGUGUGAUAACACCAAUGUCAGUCUGUACCCACUGAUAUAACAUCAUAAUAACACCAACAUCAGUGUGUAUGGACUGAUAUAACGCUGUGAUAACACCAAUGUCAGUCUGUGCCCAUUGAUAUAACACCGUGAUAACACCAACAUCAGUGUGUAUGGACUGAUAUAACGCUGUGAUAACACCAAUGUCAGUCUGUACCCACUGAUAUAACAUCAUAACACCAACAUCAGUGUGUAUGGACUGCUAUAAUGCUGUGAUAACACCAGUGUCAGUCUGUGCCCAUUGAUAUAACACCGUGAUAACACCAACAUCAGUGUGUAUGGACUGAUAUAACACCGUGAUACCACCAACGUCAGUCUGUAUGGACUGACAGCACAGAGACACCGACGUUGGUCUGUAAGGACUGACGUAACAGCAUGAAAGCACCAACAUCAGUCUGUUCUGACUGACAUAACACCACGAGGACACCAACAUCAGUCUGUUCUGACUGACACAACAGCAUGGCAGCACCAAUAUCGGCCUGUAUGGACUGUUGUAACAGUGUGAUGGCCCCAAUGUCAGCCUGUACUGCCUGAUAUAACACCACAAUAACACUGACAUCAGCCUGUACUGCCUGACAUAACACCACGACGACACCAAUGUCAGCCUGGUCCAACUGACACCCCAUGGCAGCACCAACAUCAGGCUGUACUGACUGACAUAACACCAUGGCAGCACCAGCAUCAGUCUGUUCCGAUGGACAUAACAGCAUGGCAGCACCAAUAUCAGCCUCUAUGGACUGUUGUAACACUGUGAUGGCCCCAAUGUCAGCCUGUUCUGACUGACAUAACACCGUGAUGACCCCAAUGUCAGUCUGUUCCGACUGACACCCCAUGGCAGCACCAACAUCAGGCUGUACUGACUGACAUAACACCAUGAGGACACCAACAUCAGUCUGUUCCGACUGACACAACAGCAUGGCAGCACCAAUAUCGGCCUGUAUGGACUGCUGUAACACUGUGAUGGCCCCAAUGUCAGCCUGUUCUGACUGACAUAACACCGUGAUGACCCCAAUGUCAGCCUGUUCCGACUGACAUAACACCAUGAGGACCCCAAUGUCAGCCUGGUCCAACUGACACCCCAUGGCAGCACCAACACCAGGCUGUACUGACUGACAUAACACCAUGAGGACAGCAGCAUCAGGCUGUAUUGACUGACAUAACAGCAUGGCAGCACCAAUAUCGGCCUGUAUGGACUGUUGUAACACUGUGAUGGCCCCAAUGUCAGCCUGUACUGCCUGAUAUAACACCACGAUAACACUGACAUCAGCCUGUACUGCCUGAUAUAACACCAUAGCACUGACAUCAGCCUGUACUGCCUGAUAUAACACUGUGAUAACACUGACAUCAGCCUGUACUGCCUGAUAUAACACCGUGAUAACACUGACAUCAGCCUGUACUGCCUGAUAUAACACCGUGAUAACACUGACAUCAGCCUGUACUGCCUGAUAUAACACUGUGAUAACACUGACAUCAGCCUGUACUGCCUGAUAUAACACCAUAACACUGACAUCAGCCUGUACUGCCUGAUAUAACACCACCAUAACACUGACAUCAGCCUGUACUGCCUGAUAUAACACCGUGAUAACACUGACAUCAGCCUGUACUGCCUGAUAUAACACCAUGAUAACACUGACAUCAGCCUGUACUGCCUGAUAUAACACCAUAACACUGACAUCAGCCUGUACUGCCUGAUAUAACACCAUGAUAACACUGACAUCAGCCUGUACUGCCUGAUAUAACACUG
RNAcentral lists this long non-coding RNA (4286 nucleotides) under Gallus gallus (chicken). The record is from RNAcentral. Lineage: Eukaryota; Metazoa; Chordata; Aves; Galliformes; Phasianidae.